This 219-nucleotide unclassified non-coding RNA is filed under the name Hevea brasiliensis (rubber tree). Lineage: Eukaryota; Viridiplantae; Streptophyta; Magnoliopsida; Malpighiales; Euphorbiaceae. The record is from RNAcentral.
AAGGCAUAUUCCCUCGGGAGCCAAAGAAGAAGGUCAAAGGAAAUCACCACACUUACUAUCAUGUUAAGGAUAUUGCCUACCUUCAACAUGAGCCCCUACUUGAGAAGUUUAGAGAAAUAAGGGCUUACCAGAGGAAGAUAAAGAAAGCUUUGGCAAAGAAGGAUAAUGAUCAGGCAAUUCGUCUCCAAACUCGCCAACCUGCUCCCAGUUAUGAUGAGG